UACGUCGGUGGCAAGCGUUGUCCGGAUUUAUUGGGUUUACAGGGUGCGUAGGCGGCUUUUUAAGUCAGUGGUGACAGCCGAUCGCUUAACGAUCGAACUGCCAUUGAUACUGAGAGGCUUGAGUAUAGUUGAGGUAGGCGGAAUUGACAGUGGAGCGGUGAAAUGCAUAGAUAGUGUCAAGAACACCAAUUGCGAAGGCAGCUUACUAAAGUAUAACUGACGCUGAGGCACGAAAGUGCGGGGAUCAAACAGG
RNAcentral lists this ribosomal RNA (253 nucleotides) under uncultured bacterium. RNAcentral's name for it is "partial 16S ribosomal RNA". It matches the Rfam family "Bacterial small subunit ribosomal RNA", at positions 524 to 776 of the family's 1533-position model. The record is from RNAcentral.